GAUGAACGCUGGCGGCGUGCCUAAUACAUGCAAGUCGAGCGAACAGACGAGGAGCUUGCUCCUUCGACGUUAGCGGCGGACGGGUGAGUAACACGUAGGUAACCUACCUAUAAGACUGGGAUAACUUCGGGAAACCGGAGCUAAUACCGGUAAUAUUUCGGACCGCAUGGUUUGAUAGUUAAAGAUGGCUUUUCUAUCACUUAUAGAUUGGACUUCGCCGUAUUAGCUAGUUGGUAAGGUAACGGCUUACCAAGGCAACGAUACGUAGCCGACCUGAGAGGGUGAUCGGCCACACUGGAACUGAGACACGGUCCAGACUCCUACGGGAGGCAGCAGUAGGGAAUCUUCCGCAAUGGGCGAAAGCCUGACGGAGCAACGCCGCGUGAGUGAUGAAGGUCUUCGGAUCGUAAAACUCUGUUAUUAGGGAAGAACAAACGUGUAAGUAACUGUGCACGUCUUGACGGUACCUAAUCAGAAAGCCACGGCUAACUACGUG
Molecule: ribosomal RNA, 496 nt
Filed under: uncultured bacterium
Lineage: Bacteria
Description: partial 16S ribosomal RNA
Rfam family: Bacterial small subunit ribosomal RNA
Source: RNAcentral